UACGAGGGGUCCAAGCGUUGUUCGGAAUCACUGGGCGUAAAGCGGGUGUAGGUGGCCAAGCAAGUUGGAUGUGAAAGCCCCGGGCUCAACCCGGGAAGUGCAUCCAAAACUACAUGGCUUGAGUAAGGGAGAGAAAGGUAGAAUUCCAGGUGUAGUGGUGAAAUACGUAGAUAUCUGGAGGAACACCGGUGGCGAAGGCGGCCUUUUGGCCCAUUACUGACACUCAGACCCGAAAGCGUGGGUAGCAAACAGG
This 253-nucleotide ribosomal RNA is filed under the name uncultured bacterium. Its description in RNAcentral is "partial 16S ribosomal RNA". It matches the Rfam family "Bacterial small subunit ribosomal RNA", at positions 524 to 776 of the family's 1533-position model. The record is from RNAcentral.